GCUGAGCAUGUACAAGGCCCUGAGUUCAGUCCUCAGUAUCAAAAAGAUUAAGAGAAUCCUGGACUUAAAGCCAUAUUUCAUAAAGUUAAGAAGUUAAGAGAUUAUUAUUAGGGUUUGGAGAGGUGGCUCAAGGGUUAAGAAUACUGGCUACUCUUAGGACUGGAUUUGAUUCCCAACACCCACAUGGUGGCCUACAACCGUCUGUAAUUCCAGUCCCAAGUUAUCCAACACCUCAGAUAGAGCAAUGCUGCACAAGCAGGUAAAAUACCCAUCCAUACACAUAAAAUAAAUAAUUUUCUUUAAAAAGAAGUAUUAGCAAACAAGGUUCAGGAGGAAAAGUAGAUAGAACUGGAGGAGAGGCAGUGGGUGACAGUAAAACACAGUAGGAGGAAGGAUGGGGGGUGAGGAUAGAGAUUUUAGUGCAGGUGUGGCAGACUAGCUACCGAAGAGCCAUAGAGUCUAAGGAAGCCCUGUGUUCUGCAGGUAAGUUUAAACAAUAUAAAAUUGAAAUUUGCUUGUAUAAACAUAUGUGGAAAGGGCUGGAGAGAUGACCAUACAAGCAUGAGCAUCUGAGUUCCUAAAUGCCCAGAACUCACAUGAAGCCACACCUGGUAGCACAUACCUUUUAAUCCUUGUGGUCCUUUACUCAGAUGGAGGUGGAGACAAGAAUCCUAGGAAUUACUGAGCCAAGUAGGCUGGUAUACAUGACAUUAAACAUUAAAAAGAUUCUGUCUUAAGAUGGGAGACAAGGACUCUUUGACCUCCCCCCCCCCCCAUACAUGCUACAAAUGGGCCUAUGGUCAUACAAACACAGAUGUGCAGACAUCUGUCUGUAUACACACAGCAGGAAGGAAAAACUGUAGGCCUUGAGAUAGGCUAUAAUUUACUGUCCACUGCAUUAUUAUAUAUGAGCAAAUAAAGUCAAGAAUAAAGUUUGAGAUCUAGAGAGUGGUGUGGAUGUUUGUGUGCAGCUCAGCUGCUCAGGGGUAGAUCCCUUGCUUAGUUUGUAUGCAAAGCCUUGCGUUUAAUCCUUUACACUGC
This 1041-nucleotide long non-coding RNA is filed under the name Mus musculus (house mouse). RNAcentral describes it as "long non-coding RNA chr15:34131474-34132515". Lineage: Eukaryota; Metazoa; Chordata; Mammalia; Rodentia; Muridae. The record is from RNAcentral.